UACAGAGGUGGCAAGCGUUGUUCGGAAUUACUGGGCGUAAAGGGCGCGUAGGCGGCGCGGUAAGUCACUUGUGAAAUCUCUGAGCUUAACUCAGAACGGCCAAGUGAUACUGCAGUGCUAGAGUGUGGAAGGGGCAAUCGGAAUUCUUGGUGUAGCGGUGAAAUGCGUAGAUAUCGGGAGGAACACCAGUGGCGAAGGCGGCGAUCUGGGUCGAUACUGACGCUGAGGUGCGAAAGCGUGGGGAGCAAACAGG
RNAcentral lists this ribosomal RNA (253 nucleotides) under uncultured bacterium. RNAcentral describes it as "partial 16S ribosomal RNA". It matches the Rfam family "Bacterial small subunit ribosomal RNA", at positions 524 to 776 of the family's 1533-position model. The record is from RNAcentral.